GACAGCAGUCGCCACGGUAAUACGGAGGGGGCUAGCAUUGUUCGGAAUUACUGGGCGUAAAGCGCACGUAGGCUGCUUUGUAAGUCAGAGGUGAAAGCCCGGGGCUCAACCCCGGAUGUGCCUUUGAGACUGCAGGGCUAGAACGUCGGAGAGGUGAGUGGAAUUCCGAGUGUAGAGGUGAAAUUCGUAGAUAUUCGGAAGAACACCAGUGGCGAAGGCGGCUCACUGGACGACUGUUGACGCUGAGGUGCGAAAGCGUGGGGAGCAAACAGGAUUAGAUACCCCAGUAGUCCCUGUCUCUUAUAC
This 306-nucleotide ribosomal RNA is filed under the name uncultured bacterium. Its description in RNAcentral is "partial 16S ribosomal RNA". It matches the Rfam family "Bacterial small subunit ribosomal RNA", at positions 507 to 807 of the family's 1533-position model. The record is from RNAcentral.